This 1462-nucleotide long non-coding RNA is filed under the name Equus caballus (horse). RNAcentral describes it as "lncRNA (ENSECAG00000050892.1)". The record is from RNAcentral. Lineage: Eukaryota; Metazoa; Chordata; Mammalia; Perissodactyla; Equidae.
UAUUAAUUGAGAAUUUAAGCAUAAAUUAUUGAUUCUCAAGUUAAAGGAACUGGAUUCAUUUAAUGUUGAUUCUCUUUCUUCAUUGAAUUACCUUAUCCUCUCAUUUCUUACUCUUUCUGAGUCUCUGUUUACUUAUCUGAAAAAUGACAGUAAGAAUAUUUGCUAUGGAUUAUAAUUAGUCUUUGGGUGGUGAACAUGACGUAAUCUAUGCAGAAUUCGAAAUAUAUUACAGUGUACACCUGAGAGUUAUAUCCUGUUAUAAACCGAUGUUACUGCAAUGAAAAAUAAAGAAUGUUUGCUAAUUUCAGAAUCUUUCUAUGUAGAACAACCAAUAAAAGCAUUGAAAAGAAACUAGAAGAAAAUAAUGAUCACGUAUCCCAUCAUGGAAAAAGUUUGUGACUCUCUCAAUGGUCCCUUCAGCUCUCUAUUAUCAAGCUGUUGAUUGGCAGGUGAAAAAUUAGCACCAGCUAACUAAACAGGAUAUCAUGGUAGAUGUGGCAUGGGACCAAGGAGACCAAGACAUGGUCCUUGUACUUACGGAACUGACACUUCUUCUUCCUGAGGAUUGUUAAGGGGUUGUUGUGAAAUGACAAGACUAUUCAGACUCAGAGCUGCUAGAUUUAUCCUCCUUGAAAUAGGAGUUCUGAUGGCAGAGUCUGAUGUGGGUCUCGCUGGACUGAAAGCACGGUGUUGUCAGGGCUGCCUUCCUUCUGGAGGCUCAGCUGAUCCACAGACAAUUCCAUCUGCAACCUUCCGUCCUCUCUGCCAUGUAACGAACACAUUCAUAGGUUUGGGGGUUAGGAUGUGGACAUCUUUGGAGGGGGGCUUUAUUCUGCCUACUACAUCAAUGGAAUAUUUUUUUCUCUAAAACAGGUUAAGCUGUAUUCUAAAUUGUGCAGCACAUUUGUGUUGGUUUUCUUAGCAAAGUCCUUUUCAAUUGAGUGAAAAAUUCAGGAUUAGUUAGUGGCAUUUUACUUUUUAUGUGUCUGUGGCCCAUCUGCUGGCCUGCAAUAAAGUAAAAGCGUAAUGUAGUUGAGUGAUGGUUUUUUUUCUCGCGGGAAACAGGAUCCUGUAACAGAGAUGUUUUGUGGGCAGUUUUAAGUUUGCUGUUUUUCUCUCCUCCAUCCCUUCCUCCUCCUAGUUGUUCACUUCUCUGCUUUUCCUUUCUGAGCUUCUCCCGAACAUGCUUCUAUAAUUUUUUCUCUUAUUUUUCGUCUCCAUUCUUGUUGCCCGCGCUUUUCGUUUUAUCUAUUUUACCGGAUUACUUCUACUCUUGGGUAGUAAGCGAAGCUGUGUCCCCUUGUUUUCUAGAUUUUAAAACUUGAUGGUUACUCCCUAGCUGAAUCUCCCUUUUCUGUUAAAAAUCUUCAUUUGGAAGUCUCCCUAAAGAACAUAAAACCUCAAAGUAGCCUAUAAAAAUUAAAGCAAAAAUAUACACCCUCAAAGUAGCCUUUGGGAAAAC